CUUCAUCAUAAUUGCAUCAUCUGCAAAGAGCCUGUUUCCAAACAUGAUGGUUAAUACUGAGUGUCUACUUAAUUGGAUUGAAGGAUGCAAAGUAUUGCUCCUGGAUGUGUCUGUGAGGGUGUUGCCAAAGGAGAUUAACAUGUGGGUCAGUGGACUGGGAGAGGCAGACCCACCCUCAAUCUGAGUGGGCACCAUCUAAUCAGCUGCCAGCCAGCCAGGACAAAAGCAGGCAGAGGAACAUGGAAGGACUGGACUUACUGAGUCUUCUGGCCUCCAUCUUUCUCCAGUUCUGGAUGCUUCCUGCCCUCGAACAUCAGACUCCACAUUCUUCAGCUCUUUGACUCUUGAACAUACACCAGUGAUUUUCCAGGGACUCUCAGGCCUUUGGCCACAGACUGAAGGCUGCUCUGUCGGCUUCCCUACUUUUGAGGUUUUGGGACUCACACUGGCUUCCUUGCUCUUCAGCUUGUAGAUGGCCUAUUGAGGGACUUCGCCUUGUAAUCAGGAUUUACGACUACCCGUCUUCUCUCAGACUCUGCUCCUGGGAUGUAACAUUCAUUGCUUGCUAUGUCUAUACCUCACUACAUGCAAUGCACCUUUAGAAGACUGUCUCCUUACUCCAUAAUGGAAUUUGUCUCUGACCUAUUGCAGCUAUGAGAUAAGCAUUACCUGCCCCAGAGGCUACCUGCCACUCAGUGAAGAUCAUAUGCCUAAGUCAUGACAUCAACAUCAAACUCUCUUCAAAUCUGGGAGAAAGGCUCAGCUCUUACAACCAGGACAAGAAGAAAUGACACCAGUAGAGAGAUCAUUUGGUGAGCAGCAGGGUUGAAAGAGCCUCAAACCAUGGAGAGAGAGCCUGGAUCUCGAGUAGAAAGGCUUCUGGCACUGAAGAAGUCAAACAGGAUCCCUGAGAGGGAAAAAGCCAGGAGCUUGGGGAAUUAUCUUCACCAAGGUCUGUCUAGAGAUGUGGUUGGCAGAUUUAUGACCCCCAAAGAUGUCUACAUCCUAAACCCAGGAAUCUGUUGCUAAGACUGAGUAAAACAAGAAAAGCAAUGGGGAACCUCACUCACAUCCAUGCUUCCUUGUCUCAUCUGUAUGUAUGAUUUUUGCACAACUUAUUUGAUACUUUGGACAUAAAGCAAGGUAAAGUACACUCGAAUUGAGUCCAAGGUGAUAUUACUACCAAUCCUUUAAUCCAAGCUUUAUUUAGUGGUUGAACUUAGCAAAAUUUACUUGGUAAAUUCACAUGAAAUAUCAGAACCAAUCGUAGAUGCCUCAGGGAGAUAGGGUGGAAUAAUUGAAAGGGAGAGGAAGUAUCCCUAUUUAUGUUAUUUUUGUAGCUGUGAAGUUUUAAAUCUGUUGAGAAAAAUCUUGCUUCCAUAUUAAGAGAUCAUGCCUAAAAGUAGAAAAGAAAAAAAGAAAAGCAGAGUGAGAGAUGGAGAAAGACCAGGU
This 1452-nucleotide long non-coding RNA is filed under the name Homo sapiens (human). Its description in RNAcentral is "HSALNT0165585". Lineage: Eukaryota; Metazoa; Chordata; Mammalia; Primates; Hominidae. The record is from RNAcentral.